Molecule: ribosomal RNA, 362 nt
Filed under: uncultured bacterium
Lineage: Bacteria
Description: bacterial SSU rRNA
Rfam family: Bacterial small subunit ribosomal RNA
Source: RNAcentral
GAGCGGGCAUCGCAAGAUGUCAGCGGCAGACGGGAGAGUAACACGUGGGAACAUGCCCUUCGGUUCGGAAUAACUCAGGGAAACUUGAGCUAAUACCGGAUACGUCCGUAAGGAGAAAGAUUUAUCGCCGAAGGAUUGGCCCGCGUCCGAUUAGCUAGUUGGUGAGGUAACGGCUCACCAAGGCGACGAUCGGUAGCUGGUCUGAGAGGAUGAUCAGCCUCACUGGGACUGAGACACGGCCCAGACUCCUACGGGAGGCAGCAGUGGGGAAUAUUGGACAAUGGGCGCAAGCCUGAUCCAGCCAUGCCGCGUGGGUGAUGAAGGCCCUAGGGUUGUAAAGCCCUUUCGGCGGGGAAGAUAAU